GUGGUGCCCGUGUUGGAACCCUGUGUUUGGAACCCUGGGCUGGUGUCCAGUGUUUGCAGCCUUGUGUUGAUGCCCAUGUUUGGAACUCCAUCUUUGUAACGAACUCCAGGGCAUCCAGAAACCAGCAGACUCCCAAGUGAUGGAGCCCCCAUGGCCCCGCUGGGUGUUGGAAGCUCUCUGCCACCUGACCAGGCAGGAAUGUGACACCGGAAGUUUUUCCCAUGGAGAUGGAGUCUGGGAGUGCGGGAGAAGCAGGAAAAAGCUCCACAAGCUGGACAUCCCCAUGGAAAGGCCUCCACAGCCGUCAGGGUUGGCUGCAGCCCUUCCCACCAGCCCGGAUUCUGCAGAGGUCUCUGUGUGAUCAACAGCUGGAAAGGGGCUGGGACAGGCUCCAAAACCGCUCCCAAAACUUUUGUUUUUACACAGGAGGUGCAGGCAGGAGAUCCAACCUCUUGCUUUCCAGUCUUCAGUGGAAGGGCCAUUUAUCUUCCAUCCUUCCAUCUCUUCUCAUCACCUUCUUCAUCUUCCAUCGUCCAUGUCCCUCUUUCUGCUUCCUGGUCCUUCCUGACCCCUCCUCAAUGCCGAGGCUGAAACAAGAGAAGCCCAAAAUA
This is a long non-coding RNA of Passer domesticus (house sparrow), 611 nucleotides long. RefSeq lists it as uncharacterized. The record is from RefSeq and is a predicted model, not a curated record. NCBI's taxonomy places the organism in Eukaryota, Metazoa, Chordata, Aves, Passeriformes, Passeridae. The transcript has 3 exons.